UACGUAGGGUGCAAGCGUUGUCCGGAAUUAUUGGGCGUAAAGAGCUCGUAGGCGGUUUGUCGCGUCUGCUGUGAAAAUCCAGGGCUUAACCCUGGACCUGCAGUGGGUACGGGCAGACUGGAGUGCGGUAGGGGAGAUCGGAAUUCCUGGUGUAGCGGUGAAAUGCGCAGAUAUCAGGAGGAACACCGGUGGCGAAGGCGGAUCUCUGGGCAUUAACUGACGCUGAGGAGCGAAAGCAUGGGGAGCGAACAGG
RNAcentral lists this ribosomal RNA (253 nucleotides) under uncultured bacterium. Its description in RNAcentral is "partial 16S ribosomal RNA". It matches the Rfam family "Bacterial small subunit ribosomal RNA", at positions 524 to 776 of the family's 1533-position model. The record is from RNAcentral.